UGAGGAAUAUUGCGCAAUGGGGGCAACCCUGACGCAGCGACGCCGCGUGAGUGAGGAAGGCCUUCGGGUCGUAAAGCUCUGUAAAAGGGAAAGAAGUGCAUGGUGGCUAAUACCUGCCAUGUUUGACGGUACCCUUAAAGGAAGCACCGGCUAACACCGUGCCAGCAGCAGCGGUAAUACGGAGGGUGCAAGCGUUGUUCGGAAUCACUGGGAGUAAAGGGCGCGUAGGCGGUUUGAUAAGUCAGAUGUGAAAGCCCACGGCUUAACUGUGGAAGUGCAUUUGAAACUGUCAGACUUGAGUAUCAGAGGGGAAAGGGGAAGUCCCGGUGUAGAGGUGAAAUUCGUAGAUAUCGGGAGGAAUACCGGUGGCGAAGGCGACUUUCUGGCUGAAUACUGACGCUGAGGCGCGAAAGCGUGGGGAGCAAACA
This 428-nucleotide ribosomal RNA is filed under the name uncultured prokaryote. Its description in RNAcentral is "bacterial SSU rRNA". It matches the Rfam family "Bacterial small subunit ribosomal RNA", at positions 355 to 774 of the family's 1533-position model. The record is from RNAcentral.